AUUGAACGCUGGCGGCAGGCUUAACACAUGCAAGUCGAGCGGGGGAGGUUGCUUCGGUAACUGACCUAGCGGCGGACGGGUGAGUAAUGCUUAGGAAUCUGCCUAUUAGUGGGGGACAACAUUCCGAAAGGGAUGCUAAUACCGCAUACGCCCUACGGGGGAAAGCAGGGGAUCUUCGGACCUUGCGCUAAUAGAUGAGCGUAAGUCGGAUUAGCUAGUUGGUGGGGUAAAGGCCUACCAAGGCGACGAUCUGUAGCGGGUCUGAGAGGAUGAUCCGCCACACUGGGACUGAGACACGGCCCAGACUCCUACGGGAGGCAGCAGUGGGGAAUAUUGGACAAUGGGCGGAAGCCUGAUCCAGCCAUGCCGCGUGUGUGAAGAAGGCCUUUUGGUUGUAAAGCACUUUAAGCGAGGAGGAGGCUCUUAAGGUUAAUACCCUUGAUGAGUGGACGUUACUCGCAGAAUAAGCACCGGCUAACUCUGUGCCAGCAGCCGCUGUAA
This 501-nucleotide ribosomal RNA is filed under the name uncultured bacterium. RNAcentral describes it as "partial 16S ribosomal RNA". It matches the Rfam family "Bacterial small subunit ribosomal RNA", at positions 30 to 523 of the family's 1533-position model. The record is from RNAcentral.